AUCGAACGCUGGCGGCAGGCCUAACACAUGCAAGUCGAGCGGAUGAAGGGAGCUUGCUCCUGGAUUCAGCGGCGGACGGGUGAGUAAUGCCUAGGAAUCUGCCUGGUAGUGGGGGAUAACGUCCGGAAACGGGCGCUAAUACCGCAUACGUCCUGAGGGAGAAAGUGGGGGAUCUUCGGACCUCACGCCAACAGAUGAGCCUAGGUCGGAUUAGCUAGUUGGUGGGGUAAAGGCCUACCAAGGCGACGACCCGUAACUGGUCUGAGAGGAUGAUCAGUCACACUGGAACUGAGACUCGGUCCAGACUCCUACGGUAGGCAGCAGUGGGGAAUAUUGGACAAGGGGCGAAAGCCUAAUCCAGCCAUGCCGGGUGUGUGAAGAAGGUCUUCUGAUUGUAAAGCACUUUAAGUUGGGAGGAAGGGCAGUAAGUUAAUACCUUACUGUUUUGACGUUACCAACAGAAUAAGCACCGGCUAACUUCGUG
This 484-nucleotide ribosomal RNA is filed under the name uncultured bacterium. RNAcentral describes it as "partial 16S ribosomal RNA". It matches the Rfam family "Bacterial small subunit ribosomal RNA", at positions 30 to 507 of the family's 1533-position model. The record is from RNAcentral.